AGAGUUUGAUCAUGGCUCAGGAUGAACGCUAGCUACAGGCUUAACACAUGCAAGUCGAGGGGCAUCAGGAUCUAGCAAUAGAUUGCUGGCGACCGGCGCACGGGUGAGUAACACGUAUCCAACCUGCCUUAUACUCGGGGAUAGCCUUUCGAAAGAAAGAUUAAUACCCGAUGUUAUAGUCUAACCGCAUGAUUUGACUAUAAAAGAUUUUCGGUAUAAGAUGGGGAUGCGUUCCAUUAGGCAGUUGGUGGGGUAACGCCACAAACCUUCGAUGGAUAGGGGUUCUGAGAGGAAGGUCCCCCANAUUGGAACUGAGACACGGUCCAAACUCCUACGGGAGGCA
Molecule: ribosomal RNA, 343 nt
Filed under: uncultured bacterium
Lineage: Bacteria
Description: bacterial SSU rRNA
Rfam family: Bacterial small subunit ribosomal RNA
Source: RNAcentral